This 69-nucleotide antisense RNA is filed under the name Actinokineospora cianjurensis. RNAcentral's name for it is "ASpks TB sRNA". It matches the Rfam family "ASpks TB sRNA". The record is from RNAcentral. Lineage: Bacteria; Bacillati; Actinomycetota; Actinomycetes; Pseudonocardiales; Pseudonocardiaceae.
CUUCACGGACCCGAGCCGCAGCGGGCGGUCGCGGUCCUGCCCGUAGGUGGCCAGCAGCGCCUGCGCCUC